This 427-nucleotide ribosomal RNA is filed under the name uncultured Tulasnellaceae. RNAcentral describes it as "partial large subunit ribosomal RNA". It matches the Rfam family "Bacterial large subunit ribosomal RNA", at positions 1649 to 2066 of the family's 2925-position model. The record is from RNAcentral. Lineage: Eukaryota; Fungi; Basidiomycota; Agaricomycetes; Cantharellales; Tulasnellaceae.
CGCGACACGUGCGUGUGUUUAGAGAAUUAUAGGGUGGAGAGAUAAUACUUGUAAGGGAACUCCACAUGUAGUUUUUAUAAUUUAGGCGAGGUGAAGACCCAUUUAUAAAAAUUUUAUUUGGGUAAUAUUAAUAAAGGGUGGCACAGAAUCGGAGGCCCCGACUGUUUACUUAAAACACAGACAUCUCCAUCGAUUAAUUUCUUUGUAUAGGUGUUGAAUUUUGCCCGAUGCCAUUAAUAUAAGGUUAAUAGGCGCUUUGCCAUUUUAUUUUCUAAAAAUCUGGUCAAUGGCGGUCUUAUCCUGAGGAUCCUAAGGUAGCCGAAUUAAUUGUCCAUUAAAUGUGGUCCCGACUGAAUAAAGUAACGAUGGUCUCACUGUCUGUACAAGUAUCUCAGUGAAAUUGAAUUAGCCGUGAAGAUGCGCGGCU